This 75-nucleotide non-coding RNA is filed under the name Trypanosoma brucei brucei TREU927. The record is from RNAcentral. Lineage: Eukaryota; Euglenozoa; Kinetoplastea; Trypanosomatida; Trypanosomatidae.
CUCUGGCGAUGCCGGCCACCUCCACGUGGUGCCAGAGUCCAGUACCCCGCAUCAUCGGGGGAAACCAAGAGCCAG